GCCAAGUUUCGUGAGUGGGCAAAGCGAGAGGAUUGCAAAUCCCCUGCCGUAAGGCUUCACAGGUUCGAAUCCUGUACUUGGCUCCA
This 86-nucleotide transfer RNA is filed under the name Erwinia phage AH04. Its description in RNAcentral is "tRNA-Cys". It matches the Rfam family "tRNA". From Rfam's summary of the family: Transfer RNA (tRNA) molecules are approximately 80 nucleotides in length. Their secondary structure includes four short double-helical elements and three loops (D, anti-codon, and T loops). Lineage: Duplodnaviria; Heunggongvirae; Uroviricota; Caudoviricetes; Chimalliviridae. The record is from RNAcentral.